Molecule: non-coding RNA, 45 nt
Filed under: Schistosoma bovis
Lineage: Eukaryota; Metazoa; Platyhelminthes; Trematoda; Strigeidida; Schistosomatidae
Also listed under: 1 other name
Source: RNAcentral
ACCUUGCUGACGAGUGCCAAAUAAGACGAUGCCCGGGUCCAGGGU